RNA transcript from Sitodiplosis mosellana (orange wheat blossom midge), 5839 nucleotides. It is a transcript of the gene named dynein axonemal heavy chain 2, with no coding region annotated. The transcript has 6 exons. Lineage: Eukaryota; Metazoa; Arthropoda; Insecta; Diptera; Cecidomyiidae. The record is from RefSeq and is a predicted model, not a curated record.
AGUUCAGUUCAGAGACAGACUGAGCAAAGUACAUCAAGUAUUUGUUUUUGUUCUUCGGAAAACGAACGUUUUUUCAGUGUUCUUGACGAAGCGAAAAAAAAGAACGUUUUGUUUAAUUAAUCUGUUUUGAUUUGUCGAGUCUUUUACAAACCCAAAUAAACGCUGAAUGCGGUUCUAUCCAACCGAUGACAACCACACAUGUUGUAAAAAAAAUAAUAAUUACACCGAUCCGAAGCGAAUUGCCGACAGAAGCACGUGCUCGAUAAAAUGUUCUCGAUUUUCAAUUAAUGGCUUUUUAUAUGCGAUUGCUCAAGAUUAAGCGCAGUUUGAUGUUCCAAGCAAAAAGGUUAAAGCCAUGAGUCGUGUGACGCUUUUUCUACCUCUACCUGGAUUAUACUUGUUGCUAUUGAUUUUUUUGUUCGUUACUGCCCCGAAUGGAAAAUACCGCUAUAUGUACACGACACAAACGCGUAUACAAUCGUUUCUAUGACGACAUUAUUUCAGUUUGCUCAUGUAAACAAAUGCCAAUCGAUAUUUCAAGCAAGCAUUGUAAAAAUAUCGAAACAACAAAUUGAAAAUAGACAAAAAACCACACAUUGUUUUGUAAACUUUUAAAGAAAAAAACAGACAACAUGGAGAGCGGUGAUGAAUUUGAGCUGAGCGACUACUCCGAAACAAUUGAAGAAGUGCCUGAAGUACCGGUGCUGAGUGCACAAGAAGAGAUUAAGCCUAAGCCAACGUACUCUGCAAAAGAACUGGAUGAAUUGGUUACGGUUUUAAAGCGAAUGGUGUUCCUUGAUGGAAUCAAAGAGGACGACUGGAAUGAUGAUUGUGAAGAGGUGAUUCAAACGUGGUUCCUCGACACAAACUACCCGAUACUAAUUGUAUUUUACUCGGCCAAACAACGACUCACCACCAGUUUAACAUAUCCAAUCGAACCAGUGCUUGAAAUUGUGUACUUUUUACGUGAACCAGACCACAUAUUCUCAUUGGACAAUUUUCAUGAUGACGUCACAUUCGGGAAAAUUGACGAUGACGUUACCGGAACGUGUUUGCUGCUUAUGGAAAAACUGUACACUCCGAUUUUUUUCCAUAAAACCGACUGGAGCGACACGAAUCGAGCACAGUUUUUAGCCGCAAUCCAUUCAUUUUUGUCGCACAUGACAUCGCUUCAUUACAAACUGUCGGGAUUAACGUACUUGUAUGUGCCGAGGGAAGGUUUGAUUGACGAUACAGAGAAAGCGAUCAAUGAUAAGGAACUAAUAAAACGUUUGGAGACAAUUGCCGAACAUUGGAUUACACAGCUAAGGAUUUGCUUUGGUGAUUCCGAACAAAUGGUCCCAUAUAAACUGCUGUGUCCACGCGAUGAAUAUGAAUUUUGGAUUUAUCGAUGUGAAGUACUCCUAGCUGUAAAAUAUCAAGUGAAUCAAAAGGAUUUUUUAAAAGUAUUUGCCGUUUUGCGUAAAUCUCAGUCAAUAUUCGUGCAGCCAAUCGAUCACCUCAUUGGACUGGUGGAAAAAGAAAUCGACCGUGCCCAGAACAAUGUUCGAUAUUUAAAAUUGCUCAUUGAGCCAUGCAGCGAAAUAACUACCGCUGAUUCACCGGCCGAUAUUCCAAUGAAAUUGCCCCGAAUAAUCAAUAUCAUCCGCUUUAUUUGGUUGAAUUCCGGAUAUUUCAACACGGCCGACUUGAUAACAAAACUCUUUCGUUAUGUUGGCAAUCAAGUUAUCCAUUUUUGUCGCAAGACCAUCAAUGUAUCGGCUGUUUUUAGCGGUGACGCCACGAAUCAGAUCAAAGUGGCAAAUAUGUCAAUCGACUGUUGCCUGUAUUACAAAGUGAUCUACGAGAAGAUUUCCAAACAGCCAGGAAAUGAAGAUUGGGUGCUGAGGCAUUGUAUGAUUUUCAAUCACAUUGACUCAUUUAUCAAUCGUUUGCAUGAUUUCAUUGAAAUCUGUGGCGGGAUCAUAAUAUUCUCUCGAAAAUUAGCAACGGAAAAUCAUCCACAAUUGGAAUUCGGCGGCGAUCGUGGCACUGAAUUCGAGGGAACCUGUGAACGUAUCGAAUCGACUUUCGAGAAAGGGAUUGUAAAAAUUAAAACCAAUUCACACUGUAUUUUGAACAUAAAUGAGAAAACCUGGUUGAAAAUCAUGCGAGAAUUUCGUGAAAUGACCUCGAAUUUGGAAGAAAUAAUUGAUAAUUUGAUCAUGAAUGUGUUUACUCGUGUCGAAAAUGUUGAAGAUGGAAUCUAUGCGUUGGCAUGUUUACAGAAAUUUUCAACGCGCGAUAAACUCCAUAAAUCAUUUGAACGAAAGGUAUCGACGGUGUGGAAUCUCUUUGCCGACGACUUAUCCAUUGUAAAUGAUCAAGUGAUUGCCGAUGGAAACGAGCAUCUAUCCUAUGUACCGACGAUUGCAGGUCAAACCAUUCAAUUUAAAGUGAAUCGCAUGCGUCUUAUCCGCCUAAGAUCGCUGUUCGAGCAAAACGAAUGGUUACCGGAAUCAAUUGACACGGCAAUGAUUUUAACCAAUUACAAAACGAUGAUUACUAAAAUGGAAAGAAACACUCAAACCUAUUACGACGGAUGGGUUCAAUCGCUUGGCGUGGAUAUUGCAUCAAAAUUAAAUCGCUUGCUAGUGAAACGUAGCCUAACACAUAAAGGCUUAUUCGAAUGUAAUGUCGACGAAAGUAUUUUCACAAUAUUUCGAGAGGCGCGUUUCUUUCAAAUGCUUGGCUUCGGUUUUCCGGUGCAUUUAAAUCAAUUUUUCAGCAGAGAACGAGCCAUUCGCCAGAUUUAUGACAGUAUUGUUGAGAUGAUUACAUCGUAUAAUCGGAUAUUGAUGUCUCUUUCGGAGACAGAACGAUUAUUGUUAAUGCCGUUGAUACAAAUAUCCGAUAAAUGCAUUGCACCCGGUGCCCUUCGGCUUAUUUGGGCCAACGAAGGCUUAGACGUUUACAUCAGCGAUUGUAACAAAAACAUUCGAGAUUUAAGCGAUUUCAUCCAUAUUUAUCGACAAACAAAUGCAAAGAUUGUUUCGACCUGUGAACGUCUUUGUCAAAUUGUUGCCGUUGAAAUUCCAAAAGGUAAACCACGCCAGUUGGACGAGAUUGAACAAUUAGUUCAGACUUAUUUGGAUAAACAAACGAAUAAUAUUGAAUUCGAAGUUGAUGCAGUGCGCAAAUUGAUUUUGAUUAUUCGAGACGAAAUGGAAGAUGUUGAAAGUAUUCAAGACCUUUGGACGGAUUACGUUUUUAAAUUCGAUAAAUUAAUUGAAGAAGCCUUAACGAUAAGUGCUCGCGAAUCGUUUCGAUCGAUUUUUUGCACAUUAAACGGUAAUGGCAUUUUGGGGCCAGAUCCAUUGAUUCAUGUUGUUCUCGAUGUUCAAGACGGAAUGAUAACGCAGAGCCCAUGUUCGACUGAUGUUCGUGCCAUGUUGCAAAGCAUUUAUGGAAAAUUGUCUCAAUCUCAACAGAAAAUACGUCGAUUGUUGAAAACCAUGAAACUCACACCAACCGAACCGCUGCCCGAGUACUUCGAAGUGAUAUCGAAUGACGCCGAGUGUUUGCGUUGGCAGUCAAAAAUACGCGAAGAGAUCGAACAGAAUGAGUGCAAAUUGAAAGAGUAUGAAGAGCAUUGGAUGCAAUUUGCGCACAUUUGGCAGUCGGAUAAGGCAGUCAUCAUAAAUGAAUUUGAAUCGCUUGCAACGGUAUCGGCAUUCGCUUAUGACAAACAUAUCCAAGAUUUUAUCACCUUGUCCAAUCAAGUAGCCCUACGAAAUGUAACGAAAAAAGUCAAUUUCACGCUUGUCGAUGCCACAAAACUGCGUAAAACAAUACUCGUCGAAAUCGAGGAGUGGAAGCGAUUGUAUUUGAUUUCGUUGAAGACCAAAACCCAAAAGAAGAUUAUCGAAUUUUUCACAUACACCAAUGAGAACGGACAAAAGGUAUCGAUCGCACCAAAGACGGUGGAGGAAUUACAAAAAUGCUGUGCGAUCUAUGAGCAAUUGAGAAGCGAGUUGGACGAUAGCAAGUGUAACUUGAACAGUUUAAGCGAUCAAUUUGAUGUGCUACUCAAAUAUGGUGUGCCGAUCGACGGUGAAUUCGAUGAAAUGAAACAAAACAUGUUCACGCAAUGGGAAGACUAUUUGAAAAAACUCAACGAUGCGGAUGAAGUGCUGAAUAAUGCAAAGGAUAGCUUUAAAUUGACAUUGGAGAGUACGAGAAAAACACCAGACUUUUUCCAAUGAACAAGCAAUCAACUAAUGAAUACCAUUCCGUACAUAGAGGAGACGGGAAAUUACAACGGCUCAACGAGAAAAAAAAAUGACGGAAAAAAAGAACGAAGAAACGAGUAACAAAUUGUAUCUCUUUUGUGAUUCUUAGACACAAGACACAAGUGAGACCCACCAAGGAGGUAUGGGCGAGUUGAGUGCGCACUGCGCAUCUCGUCAAAGGAACUUAGAAGAAUAUCACAUGCUGUUUAUCUAUUGGUAUUUUUAUAGUUUAAAAACACUCGUUUCUAUAGGGAAUUCAUUUCUGGAGCAUUUCAUUCAUCGCGCACGGCGAAACCGAAGAGUGGCCGAUUCGGUGUGCGUUGAAUAUCAAAAGCAGCGACUAAUGCGUGUCGUACAGAAUGAAUUGGAAUGGAAUGAAAGACGAAAUCAAUGAUCCAAGUGUUUGGACAAAUGUCUAAUAUCAUCGUCACAUAAACACUCAUACGUAUGAGUAUACGUAGGUACACGGCUUUUUAGGGGACGCUCCACUGUGAUUUCAUUCAUCAAUUUUUUUUUCAUUUUCGGUGUCAUCCACCUACGUUUAAACAACACGUCGUAUAGGGUUAAUGUUCUCACUGCGGCUUGUGUCUUCUCUUUUUACUUUUGUAUCAUUGUGCCGAACGCCGCCGUGCCGCAUCAAGUGAGAGAAGAAUUCAUUGCAAGCAAUUUGUAUCAGUUCCAAAGCAGACUUUUAAUGCCUUUUUUCCGUCGUGUGAACGAGAAAAAAAUAUUGUGUUUUUUUUUUAUUCAUUUUGGUGGAAAAAUGGAAGAGCGACAUUUCUUCUUUGUAGGAUAAACCGAAAAAGAGACAUUAUGCACAUAAAGAAAAAAACCAUUCCUCUGUUGAUAAUUUCGUGGCUAAGAAUGCUGUAUGAACAAAUGUUUUCAUUUCUUUGCUUUCAUUCUCGUUACGCAGCACAGUUCUUGCGCUUCGUUAGCGCAUGUUUGUUUUUCGGAAUGUAAAUUUUUCAACCUCUAAUUGAAAUUUUAUGGAAAUUGUCGACAAUUUAUCUUGAAAAAUGCACUGCGCUUCGAGAGACUGAGACUAAGAGAGACUAAGAGAGAGAGAGUGAAUGGGAAGCGAACGAAACAUUUUUUAUUCAUGGUUAUAUAUGAUACGCACGGAGAGACAAAGAACGAUAAAGAUGAGCGCAUUCAAGAGCAGCGUUACACUCUUUGUGGUGAGCAUUUAAGUGGUACAAUACAAAAUGGAGUGGUUAUAAAAAUGGAAAUCCAGACACUGAAUUCGGUUAUGUUCUAACUGCAGGCGACGAAUAAAUGUUCUGCGUCGCAUUUUAAUGAUGUUUUAAUCAUAGACUCAAUCGUUUUAUCCAUCGAAAGGGAAAAUUACUUAUUUUAUGUACUAUGAGAAACCAAAACAACCCAAAAAAGUUGAAAAAUAAAAAAAACCGAAAAACAGAAAGAUCCAAAGGACUUUCCGAAUGGUCAAAAAAUGUUGUAAUCUACCAAAAUGACCUUCCUUUUUCGGCCACCCACACACACGUCUUUGGUGUAAUUCGAUAAUAACUAUGAAUUAAGUAAUCAUAAGCGAAUUGUAUUUUUCCCUU